UACAGAGGUCUCAAGCGUUGUUCGGAUUCACUGGGUUUAAAGGGUGCGUCGGUGGGCAAGUAAGUCAGUGGUGAAAUCUCCGGGCUUAACCCGGAAACUGCCAUUGAUACUAUUUGUCUUGAAUACUGUGGAGGUCAGCGGAAUAUGUCAUGUAGCGGUGAAAUGCUUAGAUAUGACAUAGAACACCAAUUGCGAAGGCAGCUGGCUACACAAAUAUUGACACUGAGGCACGAAAGCGUGGGGAUCAAACAGG
Molecule: ribosomal RNA, 253 nt
Filed under: uncultured bacterium
Lineage: Bacteria
Description: partial 16S ribosomal RNA
Rfam family: Bacterial small subunit ribosomal RNA
Source: RNAcentral